This 301-nucleotide ribosomal RNA is filed under the name uncultured bacterium. Its description in RNAcentral is "partial 16S ribosomal RNA". It matches the Rfam family "Bacterial small subunit ribosomal RNA", at positions 509 to 807 of the family's 1533-position model. The record is from RNAcentral.
CAGCCGCCGCGGUAAUACAGAGGGUGCAAGCGUUAAUCGGAAUUACUGGGCGUAAAGCGCGCGUAGGUGGUUUGUUAAGUUGGAUGUGAAAUCCCCGGGCUCCACCUGGGAACUGCAUCCAAAACUGGCAGGCUAGAGUAGGGCAGAGGGUGGUGGAAUUUCCUGUGUAGCGGUGAAAUGCGUAGAUAUAGGAAGGAACACCAGUGGCGAAGGCGACCACCUGGGCUCAUACUGACACUGAGGUGCGAAAGCGUGGGGAGCAAACAGGAUUAGAUACCCCCGUAGUCCCUGUCUCUUAUAC